UACGGAGGAUGCGAGCGUUAUCCGGAUUUAUUGGGUUUAAAGGGUGCGUAGGCGGAUUGAUAAGUCAGUGGUGAAAACCUGCAGCUUAACUGUAGAACUGCCGUUGAUACUAUCAGUCUUGAGUACGGUCAAGGUAGGCGGAAUGUGUAAUGUAGCGGUGAAAUGCUUAGAUAUUACACAGAACACCGAUUGCGAAGGCAGCUUACUGGGCCGAAACUGACGCUGAGGCACGAAAGCGUGGGGAUCGAAC
Molecule: ribosomal RNA, 250 nt
Filed under: uncultured bacterium
Lineage: Bacteria
Description: partial 16S ribosomal RNA
Rfam family: Bacterial small subunit ribosomal RNA
Source: RNAcentral